This 415-nucleotide ribosomal RNA is filed under the name uncultured crenarchaeote. RNAcentral's name for it is "partial 16S ribosomal RNA". It matches the Rfam family "Archaeal small subunit ribosomal RNA", at positions 330 to 747 of the family's 1478-position model. Lineage: Archaea; Thermoproteati; Thermoproteota. The record is from RNAcentral.
GCGCAGCAGUCGCGAAAACUCUGCAAUACGCGAAAGCGUGACAGGGCUACCCCGAGUGUCGUCCGCUGAGGACGACUUUUCCACGCUGUAAGGAGGCGUGGGAAUAAGGAGAGGGCAAGUCUGGUGUCAGCCGCCGCGGUAAUACCAGCUCUCCGAGUGGUAGGGACGUUUAUUGGGCUUAAAGCGUCCGUAGCCGGCUGGACAAGUCCUCCGUCAAAUCCAGCGAUUCAAUCGUUGGAUUGCGAGGGAUACUGUUCGGCUAGGGGGUGAGAGAGGCCAACGGUAUUCCCGGGGUAGGGGUGAAAUCCUAUAAUCCCGGGAAGACCACCAGUGGCGAAGGCUGUCGGCUAGAACGCGCCCGACGGUGAGGGAUGAAAGCCGGGGGAGCGAACCGGAUUAGAUACCCGGGUAGUCC